CGCUCUUCUUCCCCUUCCAAACCCUUCUUUUUCCCUUCCCUCCACAUGUCCGCCGUGUUGCACUUAGUUUGUGAAUCCGCGCAGUCUAACCAGGCGAUGGAGCGAACGGCGGACCGCCGCACGCUCCACUUUUGAGAUGACUUCCACACUUCCACUCCGAGCGACGCGCGCUCUCGUCCGCCGUCGCUCAUCUUGUUCUCGUUAGGCAUUUGUCACCGCAACUCCGCACAACGGAAAUUCUCCGAUGAAUGCAAUCGUCGCCGCCGCUGAGACCACAUCAAGUGUGCCAAUUAUCGCUGCUCUUAUCGCCGCAUUUGCGGCCGUAAUCGCCGCUAUUGCGAAUCUCUGGG
RNAcentral lists this unclassified non-coding RNA (350 nucleotides) under uncultured bacterium. Its description in RNAcentral is "contains 16S-23S intergenic spacer region". The record is from RNAcentral.